AUGGACCAAUCCAUCCCUUUUUCUCGUGCAUAUGCAUCGGAUUCUGAUGACGAUGGUCCCGAUGAAGAAGUUGAUGAGGAGGGGUUCACGCCCAAGGAGGUCCAAGCAUUUAAGCUAUUCGGGCGGGAUCACAAGACACCAUUGUUCAAGGAUCUUAGUCUCGCGGAUGAAGCCGGUGUAGAUGAUGGCAAAUGUAUAUCUCUUGGAGCUAGGCCAAGUUCUCACCGUGAUUUGGAAGACGGCAAAAAUGGGAUAUAUCCUAGUUGUGAGUUUCAAUCCUUCUUGGAAUUGAAGAUGUGGCUCGACCACUACUCGGUUAUGCAUUAUCGUCCACAUAAAGUGGCCAACUCGGACGUCAAAGUGCGUUACACGGUUAAAUGUGAAGUGCCAAGAUGUCCAUGA
This 402-nucleotide ribosomal RNA is filed under the name Triticum aestivum (bread wheat). Its description in RNAcentral is "partial small subunit ribosomal RNA". Lineage: Eukaryota; Viridiplantae; Streptophyta; Magnoliopsida; Poales; Poaceae. The record is from RNAcentral.